GACGAACGCUGGCGGCGUGCCUAAUACAUGCAAGUCGAACGCAUUUUCUUUCACCGUAGCUUGCUACACCGAAAGAAAAUGAGUGGCGAACGGGUGAGUAACACGUGGGUAACCUGCCCAUCAGCGGGGGAUAACACUUGGAAACAGGUGCUAAUACCGCAUAAUUCCAUUUACCGCAUGGUAGAUGGAUGAAAGGCGCUUUUGCGUCACUGAUGGAUGGACCCGCGGUGCAUUAGCUAGUUGGUGGGGUAACGGCCUACCAAGGCUGCGAUGCAUAGCCGACCUGAGAGGGUGAUCGGCCACACUGGGACUGAGACACGGCCCAGACUCCUACGGGAGGCAGCAGUAGGGAAUCUUCGGCAAUGGACGCAAGUCUGACCGAGCAACGCCGCGUGAGUGAAGAAGGUUUUCGGAUCGUAAAACUCUGUUGUUAGAGAAGAACAAGGAUGAGAGUGGAAAGUUCAUCCCUUGACGGUAUCUAACCAGAAAGCCACGGCUAACUACG
Molecule: ribosomal RNA, 505 nt
Filed under: uncultured bacterium
Lineage: Bacteria
Description: partial 16S ribosomal RNA
Rfam family: Bacterial small subunit ribosomal RNA
Source: RNAcentral